This is a non-coding RNA of Ictidomys tridecemlineatus (thirteen-lined ground squirrel), 3347 nucleotides long. The record is from RefSeq and is a predicted model, not a curated record. NCBI's taxonomy places the organism in Eukaryota, Metazoa, Chordata, Mammalia, Rodentia, Sciuridae.
GAAAAAUCACAUUCCAUCACGGGGAGAACAGAUGGGAUUUUUUCCCCUCCCCUUUCUCCCUCUUCUGGGGCUUGGAGUCAGGAAUCAUGUCAGCCGCGGAUUUGCUGCAGCCCAGGGGAUGGAACCCAGGGCCUCCUGCGUGCCAGCCAAGGACUGUCCCCAGAGCAGGGCCCCGAGCCCCACAGGCUCACGUCUUCCCAUCGCCUGACCUGCCCUGUCUGCCCCUGGCCUCGCUCCCGGUCCCUCUCCUGGAGGGCAGGGCCACCUUCUGCCCUGCUCUGUUGCAUCCCGGGGCACAGAACACACACGGCCUGCGCUCUCCCGCUCUCCCGUCUGCGACAUUAGCUCACCCUCUGCCACCGGUCCCACCAGGACGCCCCGGGGUCAGACCCUGAUGGCAUUUUUGAUGCCUCCACCCUCCCCACCAAGCGGGGAGCCGGCUGCAGGAAGGGGCCUGUUCCAUUUGUUUCCUUCGCGGCUGGAUCCCCGUCCCCACCCCCACCCCACCCCCAAAGCCCGAUCCACUGCGGGCUUCUCGGAUCGGGUGGGGGGUGGCGGAGACCAACAGGACUGAGUCAUUCCGCUAUUUAAAAGCCGUCAGAAGCUUCUCUCCUUCAGACCCCAGCAGACACCUCCGCACCUGCCCAGCCCCAUGGGGGGUCCCCUUCCCACUCCUGAGUGUCCGCCUCUGUGGGCGCUGCGCCCCCCCCACCCCAGACACCCUGCGCCCCCCUCGGGGUCCACGGCUGGAGCCCAGGGCUUCGGCACCCAGAGCCGAAUCAGUCCGCGGAUGGGAUCUGCUCCGCCCGUGAGAAGAAAUUUUAAUGAAUCUCCAGCUUUUAAAUAUCAGGGAAGAGACAGGGUUUUGAAUGUUCCCAACACAAAGGAUAAAUGUCUGAGGUGACAGAUGCGCCAGUGACCCUGAUGUGAUCGUUUUACGUGGUUGUGACCUGCUGCAGGGCCCCUUUGUGAUGUCACUUCUGCUGUAAGGAGGUUCCCGUCAGCCCCGAACCCCACAGCCCAUGUGACGGUGCCCAUGGGACGCUUGUCACUGGAUUUGGGGGCCAUCUUAAUACAGAAGGAGUUCAUUGCAAAAGUCCCACCUGCAAAAAGACCCUCUGUCCACAUGAGGCUCCGGCAUGCAUGACCGCGUCCCUCCAAAGUCCACGUGUUGGACCUCGGUGGAUGGGAUGCUGCUCCAAGGAGGGACCCUUUGAAGGUGGUUGGACCUCGAGGUCUCCUUCCUCCUGAGAGGGAUUGAUGCCUUUAGAAAAGGGCCUGAGCAGGAACGAUAGCUCCUCUGCACCCUUCUGUCUCUUCUGCCAUGUGAGGACAGAAGGACGCAGAACAAAGCACCAUCUUGGAGUCUGAGAGGGAUUCCCCACCAGACUCCAAAUCCGCUGGUGCCUUGACCUUGGACUUUCCAGCCUCCAUUGCUGAGGCUGGCCUCAAACUUGUGAUCCUCCUGCCUCAGCCUCCCCAGUAGCUGCAAUUACAGUGUUUUGAGGCCAGAGGAGAUUCAGAGCCGGCCGCCCGCACGGCCCCAGAAGCCUGCUGGAUGGAGCUGAGCGGUUGUCAUUUCUCUCCCACACGUCAGACUCCGAGUUCCUGUCAGCAGCUUGCCUCUGGCCUCUGACCUGCCCGCCCCACAUCUCUGCAGGGCUGACAGGUGGGUUAAGAGGGAGCGCUCCCUGGAGCCAAGACACACUUUUUGCCUCCAAGCUGCCUCAGCCCUCCAAACAUCAAGAUCCAGAGGCCUGCCCCCGCCUUCCUCGGCCCCUCCGCCUUGCUCCCAGAGGACCGGCCUCAGCCUCCGGUCCUCUCCCUCCAUUUCCAAAUGGCCGCUGCUCCAGGGCCACGCGAGCCCAAGGUGAGUGAGUCUGUUCCCAUACGUGCUUCCUCCAUGAGGCGCUGCCUCACCACCGGCCCAGAAGCAACAGGGCCAACUGAUCUUGCACUGGAACCGUCUUUCUCUGACCUUUCAGUUCACGGUUCUCAAUGCUUAGACCACGGGGGUCUUCUGUGGAGCCACAGCCUUCCACACCGCUCCCCAACACAGCCUUCCCGGGUCCCAAGCCAAAGAAGGCCUCCGUGCCCUCCCUCAGUCCCUGCCUGUCUGCCACCUGCCACACCUGCCUUGUCCAGGUGGGGCUGCGUGUGGGGCUGCGUGUGUCGCAUUCACUGCUGAUUUCCUCCAGUGAAUCCCGGCUGUGACAAACGCACGCAGGAAGUUGGGUGUGGUGGCACACGCUGGUAAUCCCAGGGACUCGGGAGGCUGAAGCAGGAGGAUCACAAGUCAGCAAGGUUCUGUCCCAGAAUAAAAACUAAAAAGGGCUGCAGAUGUCGCUCAGGUGGAGGGCACUUGCCUGUCACCUGGGAGGCCUGGGUUCAGUCCCCACCCCCGCCACAACAUACACACAGACACGGAGGAGAAAGUGAGCAAGUGUGGCCGCACCUUCUGCAGAAGCUACCUGGGCUUCUAGGAUGACCUUGGCAGGCAUCUGAGAAGUCACACCCACUCCUGCCCCCACCAACGACAGAAAUGGCCUGAAGAAGUCCGAGCUCCUUCUCUGGGAUUCUCUAACCCACAGAUCAGUCCACCCCCAAUCGCCCCCGCGCUGCCCAAGCACUGUCCAGUCUCCCCCUCGAGCAGUCAGGGCAGGUCCCCGGGCUCUCCCUGCCUCCUCACCUGCUCACCUGUCUUCUGGUCUCCCCACCUUUGCUCCAUGCCCUGGGUGGCUUCCUCCCACCCCACCCGCACCUCUCUGCCCCUCACAUCUCCUCCACCCCAAGCCCUGGUCACACCCCAGGCCCAGGUUCCUCAACUCGAGGCUGGCUCUCUCUGCUCCUGGCUCCCCCUGCACCCCUCCGGGCCUCGCACCUGUUGGGAAAGCGCUCCCCCUUCUCACCACCCACCUCCCAGGCAUUUUCCACUCAGCCGACCCCACUUCGGACACGUUCAGUUCUCUCCCUUCACCCCCACUUCGCCCUCUCACACCCCAGCUCUGCCUUCUUCACCGACCUUCCUCCUGCGCACCUGGGGGGAGGGCGGGGCCUGCUCACCUGCGGCCGCAGAGCAGCGGAGCAGCGGCCUCUAGUGGCCGGGGAGGGAAGCGCCACCUAACUGGCUCCCGGGUGCCUAACCUGGACGCCCCGCCACUCACACCUGUCUGUGGCUCCGACCCGAACCAGGGCCACUCCUUCACCUUCUCCUGGCCGCUCACUGUGUGCCCGGGGUCGUUCUGGGGUUGAGCACAAGCAGUGAACAAGAAGCAAGCAUCCUUGGCCUCAAGAAGCUGAUAUUCGGUGAUGGGACAGAUCAAUAAAAGCUCGAGUGGGUGAGGAGA